Molecule: transfer RNA, 74 nt
Filed under: Promethearchaeota archaeon
Lineage: Archaea; Promethearchaeati; Promethearchaeota
Also listed under: 1 other name
Description: Candidatus Lokiarchaeota archaeon (permafrost metagenome) tRNA-Tyr
Source: RNAcentral
CCCCCCUUAGCUCAGCUGGUCAGAGCGCGCGGCUGUAGACCGUGAGGUCCUCGGCUCAAAUCCGAGAGGGGGGA